AGCAGUAGCCACGGUAAUACGGAGGGGGCUAGCGUUGUUCGGAAUUACUGGGCGUAAAGCGCACGUAGGCGGCUUGGUAAGUUAGAGGUGAAAGCCUGGAGCUCAACUCCAGAAUUGCCUUUAAGACUGCCGAGCUAGCAGGUGAGAGAGGUAAGUGGAAUUCCGAGUGUAGAGGUGAAAUUCGUAGAUAUUCGGAAGAACACCAGUGGCGAAGGCGGCUUACUGGCUCAUACUGGACGCUGAGGUGCGAAAGCGUGGGGAGCAAACAGGAUUAGAUACCCCUGUAGUCCCUGUCUCUUAUAC
Molecule: ribosomal RNA, 303 nt
Filed under: uncultured bacterium
Lineage: Bacteria
Description: partial 16S ribosomal RNA
Rfam family: Bacterial small subunit ribosomal RNA
Source: RNAcentral